RNAcentral lists this ribosomal RNA (253 nucleotides) under uncultured bacterium. RNAcentral describes it as "partial 16S ribosomal RNA". It matches the Rfam family "Bacterial small subunit ribosomal RNA", at positions 524 to 776 of the family's 1533-position model. The record is from RNAcentral.
UACGUAGGUGGCAAGCGUUGUCCGGAUUUACUGGGCGUAAAGAGCGCGCAGGCGGUCGUUCAAGUCGCGUGUGAAAGCCCCCGGCUCAACUGGGGAGGGUCACGCGAUACUGAUCGACUUGAAGGCAGGAGAGGGUAGUGGAAUUCCCGGUGUAGUGGUGAAAUGCGUAGAUAUCGGGAGGAACACCAGUGGCGAAGGCGACUACCUGGCCUGUUCUUGACGCUGAGGCGCGAAAGCUGGGGGAGCAAACGGG